RNAcentral lists this ribosomal RNA (730 nucleotides) under uncultured bacterium. RNAcentral's name for it is "bacterial SSU rRNA". It matches the Rfam family "Bacterial small subunit ribosomal RNA", at positions 86 to 835 of the family's 1533-position model. The record is from RNAcentral.
GGUGACGGAGCAGCGCACGGGUGAGUAACACGUGGGCACCUGCCCCUCGCUCUGGGACAACUCCGGGAAACCGGGGCUAAUACCGGAUACGACCGGCUCGGGCAUCCGAUGCUGGUGGAAAGUUUUUCGGCGAGGGAUGGGCCCGCGGCCUAUCAGCUUGUUGGUGGGGUGAUGGCCUACCAAGGCGACGACGGGUAGCCGGCCUGAGAGGGCGACCGGCCACACUGGGACUGAGACACGGCCCAGACUCCUACGGGAGGCAGCAGUGGGGAAUAUUGCGCAAUGGGCGGAAGCCUGACGCAGCGACGCCGCGUGAGGGAUGACGGCCUUCGGGUGUAAACCUCUUUCAGCAGGGACGAAUUCAGACGGUACCUGCAGAAGAAGCACCGGCCAACUACGUGCCAGCAGCCGCGGUAAUACGUAGGGUGCAAGCGUUGUCCGGAAUUAUUGGGCGUAAAGAGCUCGUAGGCGGUCUGUCGCGUCGGCUGUGAAAACUCGGGGCUCAACCCCGAGCCUGCAGUCGAUACGGGCAGACUAGAGUGCUGUAGGGGAGACUGGAAUUCCUGGUGUAGCGGUGAAAUGCGCAGAUAUCACGAGGAACACCGGUGACGAAGGCGGGUCUCUGGGCAGUAACUGACGCUGACGAGCGAAAGCGUGGGAGCGAACCAGGAUUAGAUACCCUGGUAGUCCACGCCGUACACUGUGGGUUGCUACGUGUGAGCAGUAUUCA